This is a non-coding RNA of Phrynosoma platyrhinos (Desert horned lizard), 72 nucleotides long. The record is from the annotation of a GenBank genome assembly. NCBI's taxonomy places the organism in Eukaryota, Metazoa, Chordata, Lepidosauria, Squamata, Phrynosomatidae.
UGCAGCAUGGCAUAGCGGUUGGAGCACUGGACUAUGACUCUGGAGACCAGGGUUCGAAUCCCAGCUCAGCCA